Molecule: antisense RNA, 75 nt
Filed under: Streptomyces avermitilis MA-4680 = NBRC 14893
Lineage: Bacteria; Bacillati; Actinomycetota; Actinomycetes; Kitasatosporales; Streptomycetaceae
Description: Streptomyces avermitilis MA-4680 ASpks TB sRNA
Rfam family: ASpks TB sRNA
Source: Rfam by way of RNAcentral
CUUCACCGAACCCAGCCACAGCGGACGGUCGUCCGGACGGUCCUGGCCGUACGUAGCAAGCAGGGCCUGCGCUUC